AAGCUUUGCUUGUUUUCGUGUUAUUUUGAAAUCAAUUACUAUUUUUGAAAAUGCGCCCUAAAGCUAUCCAAUUUCAACAGUUAAAUAUAAAUAUUACCUAUCUUAAUAAAACAUAUAAAAACCAUCAAAAAUAAAUAAGUGGCCUUAUUACAUUUAAAAGCCCAAAACCUCAAACGUAAUUAAAAGGAUGUCCAGUUCACCAGAAGAAAAUCAAACUUUCAGAACGGGUGGCCACUCCGAAUUCCC
Molecule: long non-coding RNA, 246 nt
Filed under: Gossypium barbadense (sea-island cotton)
Lineage: Eukaryota; Viridiplantae; Streptophyta; Magnoliopsida; Malvales; Malvaceae
Description: long non-coding RNA (GBAR_LNC008195)
Source: RNAcentral